CUAUCUGACCGUCUGAAUGGUGCCCGUCAGGCGUGAAACGCCGGGCUUCAUCGGGAACGGGGAAGGGUGGACCCAAUCGCGGCACCCGAAGCCCCGGCCGCCCCCGCGACUGUAUGCGGAGAGCGCGCGUCACCCAUGCCACUGGAGCGAUCCGGGAAGGCCGACGCCGCGCCCGGACCCGCAAGCCAGGAAACCGGCCAUGUCAGGCAACCCCAU
RNAcentral lists this non-coding RNA (216 nucleotides) under Paracoccus sp. (in: a-proteobacteria). Lineage: Bacteria; Pseudomonadati; Pseudomonadota; Alphaproteobacteria; Rhodobacterales; Paracoccaceae. The record is from RNAcentral.